GGGUAGCUCAGUCGGUAGAGCGCAAGACUCUUAAUCUCAGGGUCAUGGGUUCGAGUGCCACGUUGGGCA
Molecule: non-coding RNA, 69 nt
Organism: Podarcis lilfordi (Lilford's wall lizard)
Lineage: Eukaryota; Metazoa; Chordata; Lepidosauria; Squamata; Lacertidae
Source: the annotation of a GenBank genome assembly